Molecule: ribosomal RNA, 465 nt
Filed under: uncultured bacterium
Lineage: Bacteria
Description: partial 16S ribosomal RNA
Rfam family: Bacterial small subunit ribosomal RNA
Source: RNAcentral
GAACGCUGGCGGCGUGCUUAACACCUGCAAGUCGAACGGUGAUGCUCCAGCUUGCUGGAGUGGAUCAGUGGCGAACGGGUGAGUAACACGUGAGCAACCUGCCCCAGACUCUGGAAUAAGCGCUGGAAACGGCGUCUAAUACUGGAUACGAAACUGGCCCGCAUGGGCAUGGUUUGGAAAGUUUUUCGGUUUGGGAUGGGCUCGCGGCCUAUCAGCUUGUUGGUGAGGUAAUGGCUCACCAAGGCGACGACGGGUAGCCGGCCUGAGAGGGCGACCGGCCACACUGGGACUGAGACACGGCCCAGACUCCUACGGGAGGCAGCAGUGGGGAAUAUUGCACAAUGGGCGAAAGCCUGAUGCAGCGACGCCGCGUGAGGGAUGACGGCCUUCGGGUUGUAAACCUCUUUCAGCAGGGAAGAAGCGAAAGUGACGGUACCUGCAGAAGAAGCACCGGCUAACUACGUG